GUUGCAUUGGGGUUGUGGUUUCUAUGAAAUUUUCAAUUGAGUUAUUGUUUACUAGUUUAAAUUCAAUGUGUACACAUGGGCAUAUAUUGCAAUCCCAAUUUCUUGGCUCUUUGUUCGUCAACUCGGAUAACUUUAACAUUUCCAAGAAUUGAAAGAAAGCCCUGGAACAUACGGGGUAAUAGAUAUGAAUAGUAUUUGCAGGAUUCUAAACCAAUCUCUGUGCCUCACUAGUAGGGUGUACAAGAAACUCAAUGAAGUCGUUGAACUCGUGCUAAUCCGACCCAGUAUUUAUAGUUUUCAUUCAAGUUAACCCGAUAAUUUUCGGUCUGAUUUCAGUUAUGAAUAUGUGAAACCAGUGAAAAUCCGAACCGAUUCUUAUAUAUAAUUCAUAUAAAUCACACUCUGUCGUUUCAUCAACCUAAAAAUUGCUGACCUGAGAAAAGCUACUUUGGCCUAUGUUUUCAGUAGUUCUUCCAUUUGAAAUAAGGAACCUCAUUAAAAAAAAAAAGAGAGAGAUUUCCUUUUUGCUAAAGAUUGCCUCAUUUUAUAUGUAUGCAUGUUCUUCCUUUCUCAAUACUAGGUAAUGAGGAAAAAAAAAGGAAAGAAGGAAGACAGCUACAUCAAAAGAAACAGAUCAAGCGCAUGUACUGGGCAAGGAAAAAAAAAAAAUAAUAAAAGAGCAAAGUGGAAUCUUGAAGGCAAUCAACACACAACCUAGUGAAAUCUUGCAUCUAUAUCUAAGAAAAUGGUUUUUUUUUUUUUUUUAGGUAAUCAAACUUUCUUUUUGGAUCAGGACAGGUCUAGUGUUUGUGUUUUCCUUUUAAGUUCUCGAUGAUAUUUAAUUGUGAUUACAAUGAUGAUGUAGGAUGGAUGUUAUGCAGCAUCGUUUGGGUAGUUUGCGCAUAUGCAGAUCGUAAUGUGUGGUGGUUCAUGUCUGAGACGAACGAGCUGUGGAGUAGUUUCAACCCGUCGGAGACCGACUUUAACCAUUUAAACCCGAUGACUAUGGUUUCUUGUCAUAAGUCUACGGUUUUGGCUUUGUUGAUUUACAAACCGAAUACCUCAGUUUGGAUUGUUAGCUUGUAUAUAAUUUGAUGGAUCGAAUUUAAAUAAGAAUUUCCCUUUUAAGUAUACACUAUAUAAGAUGAAUUCUGAAAAUUAGGUAGCUAAGCUGGUAUUAAUUAUACAAUUAUCCCUAGUUGUUAACAAACAAGGAGAAUAACAAUGAGAAGCAAGUGUAGUUUUGUUUGGGAAGAGAUUUGUUAUUCUUGCUAGGAUAAAAAUCUAGGUGUUUAAUUAUUGUAGUUAGAUUGGGAAGUAGUUAUUAAUUGGAAUUGGCAUUUGGAAUUACAUGUACAAUAAAGCAACAUUAAGAGAGGAGUAAAAGGAGGAGUUGCUAUUAACUAAGGUUGUUAUAAGCCUCCAUAUUUGUCCUCUUGGUUUUGGUUUUUUCCCAAUUCAAAGCCACAUGUAUAUAUUUUGGAUUUUCUCAUAUGCAAGAAGUCAUAUACUCUCUCAUUCUUUUAAUGGAGAUAUCAAUAGAAGAUUAUGAAAUUUAUUGCAAUGUUAUUCCAGUUGACGACAUUUCUGAACCAGAGGAUAAUGCUUCCAUCUCCAGCAAUAUGUUCUCCAUCAAGGUCAUAGCCACCUUCAUGCCUCACCUCGAUUCAGCAAUGGAGGAAGAAGAAGAUGUCGAUGAUGAUGAUGAAAGUGAAUCAAAUUCACUUCUGCUUUAUGCCAACUCGGAAUGUGACACUAGCCAAAGCACAUUCCUAGUUGAACGCAACCGUUUCUUGCAUGAAGAAACAUCCAGGUCUACUGUACGUCAAAUUCUUCUUUAUAUGAAUGUGCCUAUUCAGGAAAUCUUGAUAGACCAAAUACUGAACAAUGUUCGUCAAAUAGCAAGUGAUCAUGAUAAAUACAAUAUGGGUCGUCACAAGGUUCUGCAUUUGGUAAUUAACAUUGAAGUUCCACCAAUAAUUUUUGAGGCUGAGAGUGAUGAUGAUGAUCCAGGUUUAUGCCUAGCACCCGCAACUAAAUCAUCCAUUGAAGCUUUGGAGAUGGUGAAAGUUGAAGAGUCUAUAAAUCAACACUGCCCUAUUUGCUUGGAGGAGAUUUCGAUUGGUUCAGAAGCAAUUUGCAUGCCAUGUUCACAUCUUUAUCACUAUCGUUGCAUCUGUAAUUGGCUACAAAGGAGCAGAGUUUGUCCAUUGUGUAGGUUUCAGAUUGCUUAAUUGGUAUCAAUUUAUAGCAAUUCUAUGUACAGGUUCAAUUUAUUCAUUUAAUUUCAAUAGGAUGCCCCGUAAGACUUUGAUCUUUUUUGGGUUUGUUUCAUGAUGGAAAUAUGAGAGAAUUUGGAGGAGUGUGAUUUAGGUUUUGGAAAAAUUACUAUUUACUCCGUGUAUUUCUA
This 2410-nucleotide unclassified non-coding RNA is filed under the name Hevea brasiliensis (rubber tree). The record is from RNAcentral. Lineage: Eukaryota; Viridiplantae; Streptophyta; Magnoliopsida; Malpighiales; Euphorbiaceae.